CUGACCGAUAGUGAAUCAGUACCGUGAGGGAAAGGCGAAAAGAACCCCGGCGAGGGGAGUGAAAAAGAACCUGAAACCGUGUACGUACAAGCAGUGGGAGCCUCUUAAUGGGGUGACUGCGUACCUUUUGUAUAAUGGGUCAGCGACUUAUAUUCUGUAGCAAGGUUAACCGAAUAGGGGAGCCGAAGGGAAACCGAGUCUUAACUGGGCGUUAAGUUGCAGGGUAUAGACCCGAAACCCGGUGAUCUAGCCAUGGGCAGGUUGAAGGUUGGGUAACACUAACUGGAGGACCGAACCGACUAAUGUUGAAAAAUUAGCGGAUGACUUGUGGCUGGGGGUGAAAGGCCAAUCAAACCGGGAGAUAGCUGGUUCUCCCCGAAAGCUAUUUAGGUAGCGCCUCGUGAAUUCAUCUCCGGGGGUAGAGCACUGUUUCGGCAAGGGGGUCAUCCCGACUUACCAACCCGAUGCAAACUGCGAAUACCGGAGAAUGUUAUCACGGGAGACACACGGCGGGUGCUAACGUCCGUCGUGAAGAGGGAAACAACCCAGACCGCCAGCUAAGGUCCCAAAGUCAUGGUUAAGUGGGAAACGAUGUGGGAAGGCCCAGACAGCCAGGAUGUUGGCUUAGAAGCAGCCAUCAUUUAAAGAAAGCGUAAUAGCUCACUGGUCGAGUCGGCCUGCGCGGAAGAUGUAACGGGGCUAAACCAUGCACCGAAGCUGCGGCAGCGACGCUUAUGCGUUGUUGGGUAGGGGAGCGUUCUGUAAGCCUGUGAAGGUGUGCUGUGAGGCAUGCUGGAGGUAUCAGAAGUGCGAAUGCUGACAUAAGUAACGAUAAAGCGGGUGAAAAGCCCGCUCGCCGGAAGACCAAGGGUUCCUGUCCAACGUUAAUCGGGGCAGGGUGAGUCGACCCCUAAGGCGAGGCCGAAAGGCGUAGUCGAUGGGAAACAGGUUAAUAUUCCUGUACUUGGUGUUACUGCGAAGGGGGGACGGAGAAGGCUAUGUUGGCCGGGCGACGGUUGUCCCGGUUUAAGCGUGUAGGCUGAUUUUCCAGGCAAAUCCGGAAAAUCAAGGCUGAGGCGUGAUGACGAGGCACUACGGUGCUGAAGC
This 1107-nucleotide ribosomal RNA is filed under the name Escherichia coli. RNAcentral describes it as "partial 23S ribosomal RNA". It matches the Rfam family "Bacterial large subunit ribosomal RNA", at positions 480 to 1591 of the family's 2925-position model. Lineage: Bacteria; Pseudomonadati; Pseudomonadota; Gammaproteobacteria; Enterobacterales; Enterobacteriaceae. The record is from RNAcentral.